Molecule: ribosomal RNA, 253 nt
Filed under: uncultured bacterium
Lineage: Bacteria
Description: partial 16S ribosomal RNA
Rfam family: Bacterial small subunit ribosomal RNA
Source: RNAcentral
UACGAAGGGGGCUAGCGUUGUUCGGAAUUACUGGGCGUAAAGGGCGCGUAGGCGGCCUUGUCAGUCAGACGUGAAAUCCCCAGGCUUAACUUGGGAACUGCGUCUGAUACUACAAGGCUGGAGUUCGGGAGAGGGAUGUGGAAUUCCAGGUGUAGCGGUGAAAUGCGUAGAUAUCUGGAGGAACACCGGUGGCGAAGGCGGCAUCCUGGACCGAAACUGACGCUGAUGCGCGAAAGCCAGGGGAGCAAACGGG